This is a long non-coding RNA of Molossus molossus (Pallas's mastiff bat), 515 nucleotides long. RefSeq lists it as uncharacterized. The record is from RefSeq and is a predicted model, not a curated record. Lineage: Eukaryota; Metazoa; Chordata; Mammalia; Chiroptera; Molossidae. The transcript has 3 exons.
CAUAACUCGAGCCUCAUUAAACACCGAAGAAUUCACACUGGAUAAUGGCCUUGUGAAUAUUGAAAAGUGGGAACUUAUUUACCUUUAACUCCAGGCUUUUAAAACACCAAGUCAUAUUGCAUGAAGGCCUUAAGAGUGUUUCAAAUGUGGGAAGUAAUUUACCCAAAUCUAGCUCUGUUACAUCCAGAGAAUACAGUAGAGAAAGGCCUUUUAAAUGCAGUGAAUGUGAGAAGGCCUUUUGCUGAAGGAUUUACUUAUUGGAUACCACUGAUUUCAGAUGGGAGAUCUGCCUUAACUCUGCAGGUUCAGAAUUCAACCUGAAGAGGGGAUCCUUGUGACAACCUUCACUGCUUCUGAGAGCAACAUGAACCUCUCUUGUUCAUAGGGACUGUUUUAUGCUCAGCACUGAGUGCAUCUGUUCUAAAAGGUCCACAACGUUUAGUACCUAUGGCUGUAAAAGAUGAGCAGGUACAGAAAUUCUUCUGUAGCUGAGAGUCCUGUCAGAAAAUAAUCUG